Molecule: small nuclear RNA, 105 nt
Organism: Mastomys coucha (southern multimammate mouse)
Lineage: Eukaryota; Metazoa; Chordata; Mammalia; Rodentia; Muridae
Source: RefSeq, a predicted model, not a curated record
CGCUAGCUUCGGCAGCACUCAAAGUAAACUGGAACAAGACAGAGAAGAUUGGCAUGGCCCCUGCACAAGGACGACACAAGAAUUCAUGAAGCAUUCCCUUCAGAC